This 88-nucleotide transfer RNA is filed under the name Campylobacter majalis. Its description in RNAcentral is "Campylobacter sp. LMG 7974 tRNA-Ser". It matches the Rfam family "tRNA". Rfam says of the family: Transfer RNA (tRNA) molecules are approximately 80 nucleotides in length. Their secondary structure includes four short double-helical elements and three loops (D, anti-codon, and T loops). Further hydrogen bonds mediate the characteristic L-shaped molecular structure. tRNAs have two regions of fundamental functional importance: the anti-codon, which is responsible for specific mRNA codon recognition, and the 3' end, to which the tRNAs corresponding amino acid is attached (by aminoacyl-tRNA synthetases). tRNAs cope with the degeneracy of the genetic code in two manners: having more than one tRNA (with a specific anti-codon) for a particular amino acid; and 'wobble' base-pairing, i.e. permitting non-standard base-pairing at the 3rd anti-codon position. The record is from RNAcentral. RNAcentral also lists the same sequence under 2 other names. Lineage: Bacteria; Pseudomonadati; Campylobacterota; Epsilonproteobacteria; Campylobacterales; Campylobacteraceae.
GGGUAGAUGUCCGAGUGGUUUAAGGAGCACGCCUGGAACGCGUGUGUGGGGCAACUCACCGAGAGUUCGAAUCUCUCUCUAUCCGCCA